UACGGAGGGUGCGAGCGUUACCCGGAUUUACUGGGCGUAAAGGGCGUGUAGGCGGUCUUUCAAGUCCGAUGCUAAAGUCUGGGGCUCAACCCCAGGACUGCGUUGGAUACUGUGAGGCUAGACGGUCGGAGGGGGUAGCGGAAUUUCCGGAGUAGCGGUGAAAUGCGCAGAUACCGGAAGGAACGACAAUAGCGAAGGCAGCUACCUGGACGACUUGUGACGAUGAGGCGCGAAAGAGUGGGGAGCAAACCGG
Molecule: ribosomal RNA, 253 nt
Filed under: uncultured bacterium
Lineage: Bacteria
Description: partial 16S ribosomal RNA
Rfam family: Bacterial small subunit ribosomal RNA
Source: RNAcentral